AGGAGAGAGAGGGAUUCGAACCCUCGAUAGUUAUUUUUUAUGAACUAUACCGGUUUUCAAGACCGGAGCCAUCAACCACUCGGCCAUCUCUCCGAACGAUAAUUUCUAUUUUAUUUUUUUUUCGCUAAAUAGAACAUAGCCUAUGAGUUAAUACGAUCACUAUGUCGAGAAAGAUAUGGUGUGUGACUUUCUUUAUAGGUCGAUCAACCUGCCUAUAUAAAUAAAUGAGAUACACGAUCCAGUAUACCCAUUUGUGAAGUCAAAAAGAACCUUUAACUUAAUGUCCGAAUAGAAUAAUAGAAUAAAAGUGGUAAAACGAAGUUGGAAAUAAGUCAUCUCGAAUCAACGGAUUCAUGAGAAAAUGCCUUUAUUUAUUAAAAUUUUUUAGUGAGUAAGAGGAUUAAAUGGUGUAUAUUCUUUUGUUAAUAGCUUGGAGGAUUAAAAACAUGACUAUUGCUUUCCAAUUGGCUGUUUUUGCAUUAAUUAUUACUUCAUCAAUCUUAUUGAUUAGUGUACCCGUUGUAUUUGCGUCUCCUGAUGGUUGGUCGAGUAACAAAAAUGUUGUAUUUUCUGGUACAUCUUUAUGGAUUGGAUUAGUCUUCUUGGUGGGUAUCCUUAAUUCUCUUAUCUCUUGA
This 635-nucleotide transfer RNA is filed under the name Cochlearia pyrenaica. RNAcentral's name for it is "tRNA-Ser". The record is from RNAcentral. Lineage: Eukaryota; Viridiplantae; Streptophyta; Magnoliopsida; Brassicales; Brassicaceae. RNAcentral also lists the same sequence under 15 other names.